AUGCCUUACACAUGCAAGUCGAACGGUAACAGGUCUUCUGAUGCUGACGAGUGGCGAACGGGUGAGUAAUACAUCGGAACGUGCCCAGUAAUGGGGGAUAGCUCGGCGAAAGCCGGAUUAAUACCGCAUACGCCCUGAGGGGGAAAGUGGGGGAUCGCAAGACCUCACGUUAUUGGAGCGGCCGAUGGCUGAUUAGCUAGUUGGUAGGGUAAAGGCCUACCAAGGCGACGAUCAGUAGCUGGUCUGAGAGGACGAUCAGCCACACUGGGACUGAGACACGGCCCACACUCCUACGGGAGGCAGCAGUGGGGAAUUUUGGACAAUGGGGGAAACCCUGAUCCAGCAAUGCCGCGUGUGCGAAGAAGGCCUUCGGGUUGUAAAGCACUUUUGUCAGGGAAGAAAUCCUUUGGGCUAAUACCCUAGGGGGAUGACGGUACCUGAAGAAUAAGCACCGGCUAACUACGUGCCAGCAGCCGCGGUAAUACGUAGGGUGCAAGCGUUAAUCGGAAUUACUGGGCGUAAAGCGUGCGCAGGCGGUUGUGUAAGACAGGUGUGAAAUCCCCGGGCUUAACCUGUGAAUUGCAUUUGUGACUGCACGACUAGAGUGUGUCAGAGGGGGGUGGAAUUCCACGUGUAUCAGUGAAAUGCGUAGAUAUGUGGAGGAACUCCAAUGGCGAAGGCGGCCCCCUGGGAUAACAACUGACGCUCAUGCACCAA
Molecule: ribosomal RNA, 717 nt
Filed under: uncultured organism
Description: SSU rRNA
Rfam family: Bacterial small subunit ribosomal RNA
Source: RNAcentral